GAGCACGCGCGUGAGUGAAGAAGGUUUUCGGAUCGUAAAACUCUGUUGUUAGAGAGAACACGGGUGAGAGUAACUGUUCAUCCCUUGACGGUAUCUAACCAGAAAGCCACGGCUAACUACGUGCCAGCAGCCGCGGUAA
Molecule: ribosomal RNA, 139 nt
Filed under: uncultured bacterium
Lineage: Bacteria
Description: partial 16S ribosomal RNA
Rfam family: Bacterial small subunit ribosomal RNA
Source: RNAcentral